AUUGAACGCUAGCGGGAUGCCUUACACAUGCAAGUCGAACGGCAGCACGGACUUCGGUCUGGUGGCGAGUGGCGAACGGGUGAGUAAUGUAUCGGAACGUGCCUAGUAGCGGGGGAUAACUACGCGAAAGCGUAGCUAAUACCGCAUACGCCCUACGGGGGAAAGCAGGGGAUCGCAAGACCUUGCACUAUUAGAGCGGCCGAUAUCGGAUUAGCUAGUUGGUGGGGUAACGGCUCACCAAGGCGACGAUCCGUAGCUGGUUUGAGAGGACGACCAGCCACACUGGAACUGAGACACGGCCCAGACUCCUACGGGAGGCAGCAGUGGGGAAUUUUGGACAAUGGGGGAAACCCUGAUCCAGCCAUCCCGCGUGUGCGAUGAAGGCCUUCGGGUUGUAAAGCACUUUUGGCAGGAAAGAAACGUCAUGGGUUAAUACCCCGUGAAACUGACGGUACCUGCAGAAUAAGCACCGGCUAACUACGUGCCAGCAGCCGCGGUAAUACGUAGGGUGCAAGCGUUAAUCGGAAUUACUGGGCGUAAAGCGUGCGCAGGCGGUUCGGAAAGAAAGAUGUGAAAUCCCAGAGCUUAACUUUGGAACUGCAUUUUUAACUACCGAGCUAGAGUGUGUCAGAGGGAGGUGGAAUUCCGCGUGUAGCAGUGAAAUGCGUAGAUAUGCGGAGGAACACCGAUGGCGAAGGCAGCCUCCUGGGAUAACACUGACGCUCAUGCACGAAAGCGUGGGGAGCAAACAGG
This 753-nucleotide ribosomal RNA is filed under the name uncultured Achromobacter sp. Its description in RNAcentral is "bacterial SSU rRNA". It matches the Rfam family "Bacterial small subunit ribosomal RNA", at positions 28 to 776 of the family's 1533-position model. The record is from RNAcentral. Lineage: Bacteria; Pseudomonadati; Pseudomonadota; Betaproteobacteria; Burkholderiales; Alcaligenaceae.